Molecule: long non-coding RNA, 91 nt
Organism: Xenia sp. Carnegie-2017
Lineage: Eukaryota; Metazoa; Cnidaria; Anthozoa; Malacalcyonacea; Xeniidae
Exons: 3
Source: RefSeq, a predicted model, not a curated record
GUCCUUUUUAGUGAGGAUUUGUCUUGAAAAAUUACUAAGAUCUUCACUCAGUGUCGUCAAUAAUGAUUGUGCUCCAAUGUACUCUGCGCUU